CCACNACAGAUGGAGACACUUGGACUGAAAUGGACUCGCGUGUAGCCAACGUCAUAGGUUUUGACAUAGAGGAAGGCUAUGUGUACGCCGUGGGGACAACAGACGACACGUACCUCGUGGCUCAAGACGGGACAGACACGUGGUACUCGAUCUCUCCGGCCAGGUGGGCAGAAUUCCAGUCCUGCUGCGCGGCUGCUCCAUCCAGAUGCAGGUCUACGGUAGAGGUCUCUUGGCUCAAUAGCGUGGCCAAUCCUUCGUCAUUCAUUCAGGAAAACUGGGGAGCUAAUUUCAAUGGAAUGUACAACAGUGACACGGGAGUAUGGGUUCAACACCUUGACUGGACGGACUAGGACCUCAGAACUGCGAGGAUUAAUGGGACAUAACGAGAACGUCGAUAAUAAACGCUUUGAGAGGAGCUUCUUUUGACUUCGUUUCUCGCACAUAUGUCCCUUGUUACAUGUAUAUUAGGAAAAUGGUAACUGCACAGGUGCAGAGUACCAAACAUGAUUAAAUAUCACUCGUUCAAAGGAUAGACAUUAGAAGGCUUCUAAGUUAGAUGUUUUGUUACUCGCUCAUUUUACGUUAAUUGUGGGAAAAUGUUAACUUCCAUAACUAGUACUGCUGCGCACUUAACUUGUUAUAGCAAGAUUUUGCCUCUCGUUAUAAUUCGUUUUAUGUGAUUUAAAGUAUGGGCAAAACAAUCGUAUACUGAUAUUGUACAAUGAUUAUGAAUAUGCGUCCCAAUAACCGUCCAUUUAUUUAUUUAUUUAUUUAUUUAUUUAUUUUAAGACUGACAAGGUAAUUAGUACUAUAAAAACAAAUCCAGUAGCAUUUUAAGCAGCUGUGUUAUAAAUCCACAAACGGGGCACCAAUAUACCAUUAUUCAGAAUGGGUGAGGUCACCUUGAGGAUAUAUUCGACCCAAAGCUCGGUUGAUUGACUGGCCCCGACAAUAUUAUACAGGUGAUACACUGUAAUAUUAUAGUGUAUAUGUAAAACUGUGAUCAGUGAAAAGAUAUAAAGUAGUUGGCUUUCGUAUUUUCUGCAAUAUUCCUUGUAUGUGUCCCCGCCAGAACUUUGAACUUGACCAGUUUUAAAGCUUGAAAAGAGAUGGAAGACUUUUAUGCUUUUGGCGGACUGGGGGCAGUCUGCAGUGUACGCUACGAUCCGCGCAGAAACUCUCGAUCAUCUGCCUGGGAUUUGGUUUUCAGAUUAUACAGUGUUAAUAGUUUAAGCUUUUUGUGCCAUACUAAAUUAUACUGUGUUACGACAGAUUUAUUUUAGUCAGAAUUUUAUUGAAUGUUUCGUCAUAGAACAGAUAUGCAUGAAUGUGGUUGUACACUUUAAAAUCGCAUAGCUGGAUACACAUAGGCCUAUAUAUUAAUGUAAGAAUACUGUGAUUCAUUGCCCCUCCAUUUCAGUGUUCAACGCUUCCAAGUUACAUAUAUAUUUUAGUAUCUACAGUCUAAAGCUAUUGAAACUUAGAACGACAUGGAAUUAGAGAACAUGCACUGACCAGGAAGAGGUCGUUUUGUUUUAUUCAAGAUUAAAUGAAAGUAAUAACACAGCUUUGAUCGGUUUUAAGUAUAGAAAUGGUAUCAGUAUCAGGGUAUCAUUUAAUGAAAAUGGAUAUUUGUUCUCCAGUUCUUCAAUGAAAUGAUCGCCACUCAUAUAAAUUGUGACAAAAGGGACAAUCAAACGCCUUGUAGUCGAGUUUUAACAGGAAACGUACAUAUGUACUAGUUAUUAUGAUCUGUAGAGCACAUUCACUGAACUCUUGGUACAUGCAUCUAAUCCGCCCGCUAAAUGACUACGCGUGAGGUGAAAAUCUCAUUUUAAUUCCAUUGUGCUAAGUUUGUUUUUGUAAAGGCACGAGAUCGGGAAGAUGUCGGGAAUGUUUAAAUUGGAUGGUUUAAAAAAUCAAGAGGAAAUAGUUUAAUUUGCAUGCGUUUUCUCACCACCUGUGGGCACUUCGGCAUUCAUUUUGUUGAAACAAAACCUGCUACAAUGCGCGAAUCAUACUUUAUAUUACACAUCUUUAAAAUUCUGCUUAAAUGAUAAGAAACAGCGCAGCGUGAUGGUGAAAUUUUUUCUUGUGCCUUUACUAAAGGAGAAAAGACAACAUUUAAACGAUGUUUGCGUUAAAUUCAAGUUAGAAUCCCAAAAGUGUCAAUUUAAAGAAAAAUGAAAACUAUUCACUCAGUGUAUUUGUUAUCCAAAAUGGAUUUAUGGGCUACAGUUAAGAUUUAAAGUAUCGAAUAUAUUUCACAACAGAAUUAACUAGAUGGCAAUACUGAAUACAGGAACAGUAACAUCAGACUAUCAUGAUUUUUGUUUAAAUUAAUAUUCGGAUUUUUUCGAGAAUAGAAAAAGAAAAUCGCA
Lingula anatina is the source of this 2381-nucleotide long non-coding RNA. NCBI's taxonomy places the organism in Eukaryota, Metazoa, Brachiopoda, Lingulata, Lingulida, Lingulidae. The record is from RefSeq and is a predicted model, not a curated record.